AUGCCCUUCCUGGGUAUCACGAGCGGCGAGGCAGGUACGGCUGGAGAAAAAGCAAGGCAACAGGGUGCUAGGUUUAAGCAAGUACUCACCCCGCCGGAACUCGCAAUCAAACAUAGGGUUGGCAAACUAGGAAGGCACAUAAAAGAAGGCAGUUGCGAAGGCGAGCAAGGUGUAGAUAGCCUCACAACCAUCUACAAGGGAGACUUACACCUCAACCUGAAGUUCACCCACGUGGAGCCUUUACUAGUCGGAGUGUUAUUGCUCCUAAUGAUCCAUCAUCAAUCUACUUCACCUGUCAACCCAAAGCUGCCAUUUCCAGAACGGUUUGUGAAGUCAACUGAAGACAAGCAGAUUGCAAAGCUUCCGGAUAUGAUGACAAAUAUGCAGAUUACCGCCCCCAUCCUUGAUGGAAGUCAAACUUUCCAUGCUUUAUGUGGUCUUGGGUCUACUGUGAUUCCCUUCACUGUCUACGAGCCACUACCAUUGGGUGAUGUACGGCCGACUAGCAUCACUCUCCACCUUGCUGAUCAAGAUCCGGCAGACAUUUUGGUAUCUUCUUCUAAUGGUUGUGUCCGUCUAAGGUGGCUAUUGCAGCGAUUUAAGUAUCGCGGUUGUCUUGAGCUCUGGAUUGAUGGACGGAAACCUGGGGCUGGGUUCGAUUUCAACUCGGAGAUAGCCGGGUCUAUAGGUUCAACCUUCUCCUUGCCGAGUUGCAUCGCCCGCAUCGUGUUCAAUUGGAAAGUCUGGCAAAGGCGCUUCCAACUCCUGGUUCAGGAUCUGAGUGGUUGCACCCUUGUGAGCAAGUUGUUGACGGAUCGGAUAGGAGAAGUGAAACAAAGCUACGAAGGAUACAAAUUAGCUGAAGAAGUUAAGAAGAGCAUUAGUGAAGCGAGAGGAGGACAAGAUGGUAGGGAAGAGGAGGAAGGGGUAUUAAGGAAAAAAGGGAGGCUUUAUGUGGGGAUCGCUGGAAAUGCAAGAGCCAGGAUAGCGCAAGAACUGCAUGCGACAGCUACCGGAGGCCAUUCAGAUGAUCUCGUUGUAAAGGCGGUAUCCUAUGAAGAACAUCUUCAACAUCUCAGAAUUAUAUUCGACCGCCUAAGGCAACAUGCACUCAAGUUAAACCCUUUGAAGUGCGCCUUCAUGGUCUUGUCAGGCAAAUUCCUAGGGUUUGUCAUUCGACAUCGGGGAUUAGAAAUCGACCCGAGUAAAAUCAAGGCCAUACUCGAAAUGCCUCCUCCUGAAAACCUUAAGGAGCUGUGUUCGCUUCAAGGGCGCCUGGCAUACAUCAGGCGAUUCAUAGCCAAUUUUGCUGGAAGAAUCCAACCUUUUACAAGAAAAACCAUAAAAGACAUUCCAUUAUUUUGGGAUGAAAACUGCCAACAAGCCCUAGAUGGCAUCAAAAGCUAUCUCCUCAAUCUGCCAGUCCUGGCUGCGCCGAUACCAGGGAAGGAGCUUAUACUCUACACCACGGACUUGGAUGAAUCUCUUGGGGCUCUAUUGGCACAAGAAAAUGAAAACGGGAAAGAGAAUGCCCUCUAUUACCUCAGUCGUGUGCUCGUAGGAACUGAACAUGCGUACUCUCCUAUCGAAAAACAUUGCCUUGCACUGGUGUUCGCUGUCAAGAAGCUACAGCACUACAUGAUAGCACAUCAGGUCACCCUCAUCUCCAAAGUUCACCCACUUAAAUAUCUCAUGACAAGACCAAUGCUUACAGGAAGAUUGACAAGAUGGAGCCAUCAUCCUUACUGA
Molecule: ribosomal RNA, 1749 nt
Filed under: Triticum aestivum (bread wheat)
Lineage: Eukaryota; Viridiplantae; Streptophyta; Magnoliopsida; Poales; Poaceae
Description: partial small subunit ribosomal RNA
Source: RNAcentral